UAGCAGUGAGAAUGGACAUCCUAGUGUUGUUCCUGAUCUAAGAGGAAAUGCUUUCAGUUUUUCACCAUUGAGAACGAUGUUGGCUGUGAGUUUGUCACAUAUGGCCUUUAUUAUGUUGAGGUAGUUUCCCUCUAUGCCCACUUUCUGGAGAGUUUUUAUCAUAAAUGGGUGUUGAAUUUUUUCAAAAGCUUUUUCUGUAUUUAUUGAGAUGAUCAUAUGGUUUUUAUCCUUCAAUUUGUUAAUAUGGUGUAUCACAUUGAUUGAUUUGCAUAUAUUGAAGAAUCCUUGCAUUCCUGGGAUAAACCCCACUUGAUUAUGGUGUAUGAUCCUUUUAAUGUGCUGUUGGAUUCUGUUUGCUAGAAUUUUGUUGAAGAUUUUUGCAUCUAUAUUCAUCAGUGAUAUUGGCCUGUAGUUUUCUUUUUUUUGUGACGUCUUUGUCUGGUUUUGGUAUCAGGGUGAUGGUGGCAUGGUAGAAUGAAUUUGGGAGUGUUCCUCCCUCUGCUAUAUUUUAGAAGAGUUUGAGAGGGAUAGGUGUUAGCUCUUCUCUAAGUGCUUGAUAGAUUUUACCUGUGAAGCCAUCUGGUCCUGGGCUUUUGUUUGUUGGAACAUUUUUAAUCACAGUUUCAAUUUCAGUGCUUGUGAUUGGUCUGUUUAUAUUUUCUAUUUCUUCCUGGUUCAGUCUGGGAAGGUUGUGCUUUUCUAAGAAUUUGUCCAUUUCUUCCAGGUUGUCCAUUUUAUUGGCAUGUAGUUGCUUGUAGUAAUCUCUCCUGAUCCUUUGUGUUUCUGCCGUGUCAAUUGUUACUUCUCCUUUUUCAUUUCUAAUUGGAUUGAUUUGAGUCUUCUCACUUUUUUUCUUGAUGAGUCUGGCUAAUGGUUUAUCAAUUUUGUUUAUCUUCUCAAAGAACCAGCUUUUAGUUUCAUUGAUCUUUGCUAUUUUUUCCUUCAUUUGUUUUCACUUAUUUCUGAUCUGAUCUUUAUGAUUCCUUUCCUUUGCUAACUUUGGGGGUUUUUUGUUCUUCUUUCUCUAAUUGCUUUAGGUGUAAGGUUAGGUUGUUUAUUUGAGAUAUUUCUUGUUUCUUAAGGUAGAAUUGUAUUGCUAUAAACUUCCCUCUUAGAACUGCUUAUGCUGUAUCCCAUAGGUUUUGGGUUGUCGUGUUUUCAUUGUCAUUUGUUUCUAGGUAUUUUUUGAUUUUCUCUUUGAUUUCUUCAGUGAUCUCUUGGUUAUUAAGUAGUGUAUUGUUUAGCCUCCAUGUGUUUGUAUAUUUUACUGAUUUUUUUCCUGUAAUUGAUAUCUAGUCUCAUAGCAUUGUGGUCGGAAAAGAUACUUGAUAUGAUUUCAAUUUUCUUAAAUUUACCAAGGCUUGAUUUGUGACCCAAGAUAUGAUCUAUCCUGGAGAAUGUUCCAUGAGCACUUGAGAAGAGAGUGUAUUCUGUUGUUUUUGGAUGGAAUGUUCUAUAAAAAUUAAGUCCAUCCUGUUUAAAGUAUCAUUUAAAGCUGUGUUCCCUUAUUUAUUUUCAUUUUGGAUAAUCUGUCCAUUGGUGAAAGUGGGGUGUUAAAGUCCCCUACUGUGAUUGUGUUACUGUCAAUUUCCUCUUUUAUGGCUCUUAACAGUUGCCUUAUGUACUGAGGUGCUCCUAUGUUGGGUGCAUAAAUAUUUACAAUUGUUAUAUCUUCUUCUUGGACUGAUCCCUUGAUCAUUAUGUAGUGUCCUUCUUUGUCUCUUGUAAUAAAUAGUCUUUAUUUUAAAGUCUAUUUUGUCUGAUAUGAGAAUUGCUACUCCAGCUUUCUUUUGAUUUCCAUUUGCAUAGAAUAUCUUUUUAUAUCUCCUUACUUUCAGUCUGAAUGUGUCCCUGGGUCUAAAGUGGGUCUCUUGUAGACAGCAUAUAUAUUGGUCUUGUUUUUGUAUCUGUUCAGUCAGUCUGUGUCUUUUGGUUGGAGCAUUUAGUCCAUUUACAUUUAAGGUACAUUUACAUUUAUUGAUAUGUAUAUUCCUGUUACCAUUUUCUUAAUUGUUUUCAGUUUGUUUUUGUAUGUCUUUUCCUUCUCUUGUGUUUCCUGCCCAGAAAAGUUCCUUUACCAUUUGUUGUCAAGCUGGUUUGGUGGUGCUGAAUUCUCUUAGCUUUUGCUUGUCUGUAAAGGUUGUAAUUGCUCCAUCGAAUCUGAAUGAGAUCUUUGCGGGGUAGAGUAAUCUUGGUUGUAGGUUUUUCCCUUUCAUCACUUUAAAUAUGUCCUGCCACUCCCUUCUGCUUGCAGAGUUUCUGCUGAAAGUUCAGCUGUUAACCGUAUGUGGAUUCCCUUGUAUGUAAUUUGUUGCUUUUUCCUUGCUGCUUUUAAUAGUUUUUCUUUGUAUUUAGUUUUUGAUAGUUUGAUUAAUAUAUGUCUUGCUGUGUUUUUCCUUGUAUUUAUCCUGUAUGGGACUCUCUGUGCUUCCUGGACUUGGUUGCCUAUUUCCAUUCCCAUGUUAGGGAAGUUUUCAACUAUAAUCUCUUCAAAUAUUUUCUCAGACCCUUUCUUUUUCUCUUCUUCUUCUGGGAGCCCUAUAAUUCAAGUGUUGGUGUGUUUAAUAUUGUCCCAAGGGUCUCUGAGACUGUCCUCAAUUCUUUUCAUUCUUUUCUCUUUAUUCUGCUCUGUGGCAGUUAUUUCCAUUAUUUUAUCUUCCAGGUCACUUAUCUGUUCUUCUGCCUCAGUUAUUCUGCUAUUGAUUCCUUCUAGAGACUUUAUAAUUUCAUUUACUGUGUUGUUCAUCACUGUUUGUUUGCUCUUUAGUUCUUCUUAGGUCCUUGUUAAACAUUUCCUAUAUUUUCUCCAUUCUAUAUCCAAGAUUUUGGCUCAUCUUUACUAUCAUUAUUCUGAAUUCUUUUUCAGUUAGACUGCCUGUUUCCUCUUCAUUUGUUUGGUCUGGUGGGUUUUUACCUUGCUCCUUCAUCUGCUGCAUAUUUCUGUCUUCUCAUUUUGUUUAACUUACUGUGUUUGGGGUCUCCUCUUCACAGGCUUUGGGUUCUUUGUUCCUUUUGUUUUUGGUGUCUGCCCCCAAUGGGUGAGGUUGGUUCAGUGUGUUGUGUAAGCUUCCUGGUGGAGGGGACUGGUGCCUGGGUUCUGGUAGGUGGGCCUGGAUCUUCUGGCAGGCAGGGCUGUGUCUGGUGGUGUGUUUUGGCAUGUCUGUGAACUUAGUAUGAGUUUAAGCAGCCCUUAUGCUUAUGCGUGUGGUUGUUUUUUUGUCUUACUAGUUGUUUGGCAUGGGGUGUCCAGCACUGGAGCUUGCUGGCCAUUGGGUAGAUCUGGGUCUUAGCGUUGAGACGGAGAUCUCUGGGAGAGCUCUCACCAAUUGAUAUUAUGUGGGGCUGGGAGGUCUCUGGUGGUCCAGUGUCCUGGACUUGGCUCUCCCACCUUUGAGGCUCAGGCCUGACAUCCGGCUGGAGCACCAAAACCCUGCCAGCCCCACGGCUCGGAAGAAAAAAAAAGGGGGAAAAAGAAACCAGAUAGAAUCCCAAACCAAAUGGUAAAAGCAAAACUAGACAAAAUCACACAAAGUAACGUACACACACACACUCAUAAAAAGAAAUAAUAGGGGCUUCCCUGGUGGUGCAGUGGUUGGAAGUCUGGCUGCUGAUGCAGGGGACAUGGGUUCGAGCCCUGGUCUGGGAGGAUCCCACAUGCCGCGGUGCGGCUGGGCCCAUGAGCCACAAUUACUGAGCCUGCGCAUCUGGAGCCUGUGCUCCGCAACAAGAGAGGCUGCGAUAGUGAGAGGCCCGCGCACCGCAAUGAAGAGUGGCCCCCACUUGCCACAAGUAGAGAAAGCCCUCGCAUAGAAACGAAGACCCAACACAGCCAU
Molecule: long non-coding RNA, 3833 nt
Filed under: Phocoena sinus (vaquita)
Lineage: Eukaryota; Metazoa; Chordata; Mammalia; Artiodactyla; Phocoenidae
Description: lncRNA (ENSPSNG00000002742.1)
Source: RNAcentral